RNAcentral lists this ribosomal RNA (497 nucleotides) under uncultured bacterium. RNAcentral describes it as "partial 16S ribosomal RNA". It matches the Rfam family "Bacterial small subunit ribosomal RNA", at positions 38 to 507 of the family's 1533-position model. The record is from RNAcentral.
GGGGGGGGGGGGGGGGGGGGGGGGGGGGGGGGGGGCGGGGGGGCGGGCGGGGGGCUGGGUUUUCUGGGGGUAGCGGCGGGCGGGGGAGUAACACGGGGGGAACCUACCUAUGAGACUGGGCUAACUUCGGGCAACCGGCGCUAAUACCCGCUAAUCUUUUUAACCGCAUGGUUCACACGUGAAAUACGUGCUUGCUGUCACUUAUAGGUGGAUCCGCGCUGCAUUAGCUAGUUGGUAAGUUAACGGCUUACACAGGCAACGAUGCAGAGCCGACCUGAGCGGGGGACCGGCCACAAUGGAACUGAGACAAGGUCCAGACUCCUACGGGAGGCAGCAGUAGGGAAUCUUCCGCAAUGGGCGAAAGCCUGACGGAGCAACGCCGCGUGAGUGAUGAAGGUCUUCGGAUCGUAAAACUCUGUUAUUAGGGAAGAACAUAUGUGUAAGUAACUGUGCACAUCUUGACGGUACCUAAUCAGAAAGCCACGGCUAACUACGUG